This is a non-coding RNA of Homo sapiens (human), 117 nucleotides long. It matches the Rfam family "Metazoan signal recognition particle RNA". Rfam says of the family: The signal recognition particle (SRP) is a universally conserved ribonucleoprotein. It is involved in the co-translational targeting of proteins to membranes. The eukaryotic SRP consists of a 300-nucleotide 7S RNA and six proteins: SRPs 72, 68, 54, 19, 14, and 9. Lineage: Eukaryota; Metazoa; Chordata; Mammalia; Primates; Hominidae. The record is from Rfam.
GCUGGGUGUGGUGGCUCACGCCUGUAAUCCCAGUACUUUGGGAGGCUGAGGCGGGUGGAUCACCUGAGGUCAGGAGUUCGAGACCAGCUUGACCAAGAUGGUGAAACCCCGUCUCUA